CCCUUAGAUGUCCUGGGCCGCACGCGCGCUACACUGAUGAAUGCAACAAGUCUACCUUGGCCGAGAGGCCUGGGAAAUCUUUGAACGUUCAUCGUGAUAGGGAUUGAUCAUUGAAAUUAUUGAUCAUGAACGAGGAAUUCCUAGUAAACGCAGAUCAUCAGUCUGCAUUGAUUACGUCCCUGCCCUUUGUACACACCGCCCGUCGCACCUACCGAUUGAAUGGUCCGGUGAAGCCUCGGGAUUGUGAUGAGUCUCCUUUAUUGGGGAUUUGUCGCGAGAACUUGUCUAAACCUUAUCAUUUAGAGGAAGGUGAAGUCGUAACA
RNAcentral lists this ribosomal RNA (323 nucleotides) under uncultured eukaryote. RNAcentral describes it as "partial 18S ribosomal RNA". It matches the Rfam family "Eukaryotic small subunit ribosomal RNA", at positions 1470 to 1796 of the family's 1831-position model. The record is from RNAcentral.